AAGUCGUAACAAGGUCUCCGUUGGUGAACCAGCGGAGGGAUCAUUACUGAGUGUAAAAACUCCCAACCCUUUGUGAACAUACCUCUGUUGCUUCGGCGGAUGCGCCCCGGGCGCGCCUCUCGCGAGGCGUGCCCCGGAACCAGGCGCCCGCCGGGGGACCAAACCAAACUCUUGUAUUCUAGCGGAUCUCUGAGUGUGAUUUAAACAAAUCAAAUUAAAACUUUCAACAACGGAUCUCUUGGCUCUA
This 247-nucleotide unclassified non-coding RNA is filed under the name air metagenome. Its description in RNAcentral is "partial contains small subunit ribosomal RNA, internal transcribed spacer 1, and 5.8S ribosomal RNA". The stretch from base 1 to 46 matches the Rfam family "Eukaryotic small subunit ribosomal RNA", at positions 1786 to 1831 of the family's 1831-position model. The record is from RNAcentral.